CCAGUGGAGUAGAUUUCAGUAUGAUACAAAAACUCAUAGUGACUGAAUCGUCUUUUGUAACGUAUUUUCAACGAGAGUUCAGCCGAGAGAACAGCUCAUCGGCGUUAUUUCUGGAAACCGUUAUCAAGUUACUAAAUCAACAACGUAAGACAAGCGAGCAGACAGCUAGUACUACACUAUUUAGGUCUGGGUUAAUCAAGUGGCUUCGCUGUCUGCUCUGGCUGUCAGAGUCUGCCUCGUUUUUUGUGGGUGUCAGGACGCUUCCUUCAGUGCCUCUUCAAUUCCAAUCAGCGUCGAAAACGAUGGCCGAAAGCUUCUGAAACUAUAUUCAGUGGAAAGAAUGGCCGACGAACACUUCUGAAACGAUAUUCGGUGGAAAGAAAAAUCAUGCGAGAUUCUCAAAUGUGAAAACAAAGGAAACGAUGCCGUGAUCGAUGGUGUGAUAAUGACCUCUAUCCCAUGAAGGGUUGGAUGGUGAAUGCCUUCUUGACUCUAGGUCAUGUUACGUUUGUGUUGCUUGAGGAGCUUCGUCCAACCUCCAUUCUGGCAGCGACUUUACCUGAGGAGAAAAAGACUCCGCCUAACCUCUGUGGCGAAGGGACUGGCGUGUGUGCUGACAUCGGGGAGCGAUGCGUUCUAGUGAUCUUGAGCACCGACGGCUGCCCUGGAAGUAAACAAUGUUGCCGGAUGAUCAGUUAUGGAUUGUCCUCUCACCCAGCAAGAAAAACAGUUCAAGGCAAAUCGAGUCUAUGGCGAAGAACGCGAUUUCCCAGACGAGUCAAGAAGAACAAAGAGAGGAAGAAGAACCUACUGAAAGAAGAGAAGAGAAGACAGAAAUCAAUCGAUAAAAAUAAAGCCAAAAACAACAAAAACGGAAGCAGGAACAAAAACAAAAACAAGAAUGGUCUCGGCAGUCCGGCUCUCAAUGGCAUUUCGGCUAACAAGCGAAAAAACACCAAUAAGGAGAAUAAGAGAAAGGAAAAGAAGAAAAGAAACAAAAAGGGAAAUACGGAUAUAGGUGGAGGCAAUGGCAGCAAGCUCCUGGAUAUCUUUCCUAGCCUAGGAAACAACAAGGACAAGAAAAGGAGGAACGGAAAUAGAAACGUGAAGAAUAAGAAAGGAAAGAAAAGGAAGAAGGAAAAGAGAAAAGAGGAAACCGAGGAAGCCCUGAGCAAAGAUGAAGGGGUGAAGAUAAAGGUAAAAAGAAGUAUGGGAAGGUUGGUAAGAAAGAGAAGAAAAAGAAAAUCAGAAAGAAUAAGAGGGAAAAGGACAAGAAAAAGAAGAAAAAGAAGACAGGAAUUAGUGAUAAGAAAAGGAAGAAAAGGAAAAAGAAAAAUAUGAAGAGUAAGGGAAAGCAGAAAGCAAAACAGAAGAGAGGAAAGAAAGUCAAGAAGAAAAGAAAGAAAAGUAACAGAAAUAAGAAGAAACGGAAGAAAGGGCAAAGAAAGAACAAGAAAAUCAAAAGGAAAAAGAAGGGAAAGAAAGGGAGAAGAAAGCACAACAAAAACGAGACAAAUCUAGACAAGAACAAUAAUAAAGGUAAGAAAAAGAGAAAGAACUCAAAGAAGGGAAAAAAAUAUGAAAGAGAUCAAAGCGGGAGGGAGAAAAUCCAUGAAGGGAAAAACAUCAAAAAAGAAGAAGAAGGAGAAUAAGAAGGAGAAGAAGAACAGAAAAUGCAAAACCAACAGCAUAUGUAAGAAAUAGGCGGAAAAUGUAAGCUGGCUUCGUCCUGCAAAACCCAGCCGAUCUACGGACUCUGCAAGAAGGCUUCCUGCCUGUGCUGUCUCGCUGCUGACAAGCCGAAAGAACCAUCUUGUGCCCAGAGGACAAAGAAGAAAUGCACGAAAUACAAAGGCGUCUGCAAGGAUUCCUGUGCAGCAGAUGAAAGAGUCAUUGCCAAUGGCUGCAAGAAGAUGUGCAAGUGCUGCGCUAAAGCUUGCAAGAUAAAGCCAGCCUGCAUCAGCAAAGGAGGAUUUUGUGUCAAUAGCAAGACGGAAUGUACAGAGGGAAAGGUCGACAAAAAAUCUUGCAAAGGAGAAAAUUGUUUCUGCUGCUUUUCAGGCUCAGGCUCAAAAUGCUCAACUAAAGCCAAGAAAAAAUGUCUGAAGUACAACGGUUCUUGCCAGACGACUUGCAAAUCCACUGACAGAGUUAUUGCCAAAGGCUGCAAAGGGAAAUCAUGCGUGUGUUGUGCAAAGCC
This is a long non-coding RNA of Macrobrachium nipponense, 2200 nucleotides long. RefSeq lists it as uncharacterized. The transcript is spliced from 6 exons. The record is from RefSeq and is a predicted model, not a curated record. NCBI's taxonomy places the organism in Eukaryota, Metazoa, Arthropoda, Malacostraca, Decapoda, Palaemonidae.